RNAcentral lists this long non-coding RNA (4385 nucleotides) under Setaria italica (foxtail millet). RNAcentral's name for it is "long non-coding RNA (SITA_LNC002335)". The record is from RNAcentral. Lineage: Eukaryota; Viridiplantae; Streptophyta; Magnoliopsida; Poales; Poaceae.
CCAAGCUCCUUUGUUCCCCAAUCUUGUUCGGCCAAAUUCGUUACCGUGGUGCACUCCCGGCCCGAUUCCUCGCAGCCACGGCGCCUACUCGUUGUCCCGCAUCCAUUUUGCUACUUCCCGAACUCCCUCCCUCACCGGACGAUACCCUCCACAGGAGCUCCUCUGCUGCCCCCUUCCUGUGCCAUCCUCCCUAUGCGCUGCCCCUCCUCCAAGCGCCUCCUCCUCUGCUGGUGAGACCCCUAGCCCAAGGUGCCAUUCCUCUCCCUCCCCAAGCCAUGCCCCUUCCUUUCCUCCUGAUUCCGACCGGCCCAAGUGCCAUGCGCCAUGCCUGUGAACCGUGCGUGCCUCUGUCUGUGCGUGAGGGAGUUGAGUAGAGAAGAAAUAGGAAACGUAGGUGGUUAUGGGGAAGUUUCAGGGAUGUUUGCGCAAUUAACUCGUAGACCUAGGGGGUAGAUCGUAAGAUCGUCUUGGUUUUGUUUAUUUUUCUAGAUCUAAAAAGGCUGACACUUUAAAAAUUCGUAGUAAAUUGUAGAAAAAUUGUAAAAUAUCAAAUGAGGACCUUUUGAAAUCCUUGAUAGAAGAAUCACACAGUAGAGUUAUAAUAUGAUAUGUUUUAGUAGAAAGUUUCUGAUGUUUUUAUUUAUUCUUUCAAAGUGCUUUUAGAAAUCCUUUUAAGUUGUUAGAUGCACAUCUUGAGUUAUAGAAGUCCAAAACUUGUGAUUCCAGUUGUGUUGGUAUUGUAAUGACACCCUCUAGAUAAUAAAAAUAUUAAACAUGCUAGUUGUUUUAUGUUUUUAACAUGUUUUGAUUUAAUCUUGAUAAAUAGGCAAAUUCUAGCUUGUCGUGCUCAUCAUUUUCAUAUCUAAAGUUGUGAUGCUCCAAUCAUUGUGAAAUUUUUAUGGUAGGCUAUACAUGAUUCUGUUGUGCUAUGGUAAAAAGUUCAUAUUGAUUGGUGCAUGUAUGACUGAGUUAUUGAUUUAAAUUGUUAUUGCUUCAUAAAUGAUUUUAAAUAAGUUAUAACUUUCAUGUAGGUGUAAAAAUGGGAAAUGUGGUUCCACUACCUUUGUAUGAUGUUUUUCUACCAUAAUAACAUAUUAUAUGUCUAUGUGUUCAUAUACAAUGAUGAUCUUUAGAUUUAUCUUGCUUUUACAUGUUUUCUUGCAUUAGCAAAUUAUCCUUUUCGUAGAAAUUAAUUUAUACAACUUAAGCAUGUGAAAUUUGUGCAGUAGCCAUGUUCUUAUAGCAUCUACCACUCACAAAAAUCUCAGCCCCAAACUAGUUGUUCUCAUAUGAAAGUUUGCUAAGUCAUGUGAAGCUUUUAGUAGUUGUUUUUGAGGGGUACAUAUGAUGCUAAAUUAUGAUAAGUAGUGGUUAAGCUAUGAAUAUAACUCAUAUGUAUGCUCUCAUGUUAAUAUAACAGCUACUUAUAUAAGUUCUUCACCUUUGCUUUGAUUCUUGCUUAAGGUAUUUAGGGUGUUCCAUGUUACCUAAAGCUAACGCUAUUUAACUAUGUUCAUAGUAUUUAUGAGCUAUGUAUUUAACUUAUGCAUAUGUUACCUUGUUAAAGAAAUAAAUGAAGAACCUUGUUGCAUAUGUGCUAAAAUGGCUGCUAGAGUAGUUUCUGUUGUGGCAAUAUUUUUGUGAUGCAAAUGAUGUUUUAUGUCAAUAUGGUGAAUACAAAAGCUGUAGGUAACUUCAUAAUAUAGCUUUUGUUAAAUUUUCAUGACCCUAAGCCUGAUGGUUUAGGGGCUAUAAAUUUUACAAGUUCAUCGUCAGGUUUUGCGUGCUCUAUGUAUAGGUCUGAAUGAUUGCGUUGUUUGACUUAACGAAGCUUUGAACCAUAUCUUGAAGAUAAUAUAAUAAGUGUAAUGGUUUUCAUGAGCUUUCCAAAUUGUUAAAGAUCACCCCUUUUUGUGGUCUAAAUCUCCAGCUGUAGCUUGUGAAGUGGAACGAUAGGAUCUGUCCUAAUCUGGACAGAGAUAUCUUCUUUGUGAUGUUUGACCUGGUUAACUGGGGUUUUAGCUUGUGGUGUUUACAAUAAAGUUGUGCUUGAUUUGUUAAUAUUUCUAAAAAGUCUAUAAUAACCUUGUUGUGAAAGCUAUAACUCUAGAUAUGGCUGUCUAAAGUUUAAUGUCAGAAUCUGUCCAUGUUUGGACGGAUUUGCUUCUUUGUGUUGUGUAGUCUUGUUAACUAUUGAAUCAUUUUGAGAUGACAAUAAUAAAAUUAGGUUUCUACCAAGUUAAUAAUCAUGGUUGUUGGAGGUUUAGAACUCCAGAUAUGCAUAUGUGAAGUUCGUGUCAGUUUUCUAUCCUUGUUUGUACACAUCUGCUCAUUGGUGUGUUUUCUCCAUGUUAUUUGUUGAAUCAGCUUUUGGUGUGAGUAGCAAAGUUUUAGAUAACUUACUUAAAUUUGCAAAAAGUCUAGGAUCACCCUUUUUGGAUGCUUAUAUCUCUAGUUAUAGCUAAACAAGUGACUACUGUGCUGCUGUCCAGAUUCGGUGUAUGUGCUUAAGUUAUUAGCUUUAACUUGACAUUUCCUUGUAUGUUUGUUAGUUAGCUCAUAUCACUAUUAGAUUUAAAUUGAUUUACCUGAGAAUAUUAUAAAUGUGUUAUAUAAUGUUGGUCAAGCACUUAACUAAUAAAUGGUCAUGUAUACAUGUUGUUACGAAAUAACCUUGCUGCAUAGCUUGCUAGAACCUUACUGAUGUUGGUGUGUGACUUGCUUAUGUAUGAGUGGUUUAAAAACAAAUGUAAUAUACUUUGAUCACCUUCAACUUGCUGGUUGUGUGAUGAACUUAUAUAUGCCAUGUUGAUAAGCACCAUUACCCUAGUUCUUGUAUGAUGCUAGGCUUAAUUAGCUCUUGAUUGUUAAAUGCUUGCAAUAGCUUGACUUAAGUUAACUUGUGUGCCAUGCUUGUUAGGCUUGCUAUCUCUAUGGAGACUUGAGUGAUAGUUAGUUAAAUAACUUGCUCUCUAAGUGCUUAUAUCUUGUGGUGUAACCUUGUGCAUGUCCCGAAUGCUUUUGUGUGAUGCAUCUCUUUUUACCAUUCUUUGUAUUCAUGCUGUUGCAUCUUGCAUCUCAUCUAGAUACGCUAGAUAAACCACGUGAAGGACGUGAUGAUGGAACCGAACCCGAAGACGGUGUAUGGUGGAGCUAUCCCGAAGAUGGAAGGAUUAAGCAUGUGCCGAGAUGGGAGAUGCUCGCCAAGCGAGUGUCAUCUAACAAACACUAACCUAGUGUGGUUUCCAGGCAAGCCCCAGUGCAUGCUUACCUAUUUUAAAAAGUUAUGCAAUAUGUUGAUGCUUAUGAUUGUGCAUUUACAUUUAUAGAAGUUGAAUGACACCUUAGAUGCAUGAACUUAGUACCCUUUUGAUCUGAACACUAGCAUGAUAAGUUGUGUAGAUGCAAUUCUUAAUAGGACAUGUAAAAGUCGAGUGAUUUCCUGUCACUCGCAAGUUAGAGGAGUUGUUUGUUUACUUAUGUUACAACCAUAAGGACGAUGGGCGGGGUAGGGCCUUGGGAACUAUUUUGGUGGUCAGUGGAUUGCCCUGUCUGUCUAAAUGAAAAUGGACUAAGGUCGAAACGUGUCGGCAUUCAUGAUCAAGUGUUUGAAAGUACUAAUCUCAUACCUAGGAAGGGGUUGCGAAAGCCUAGUACCUGAUUGAACUGGGGCGUGGCAUACCCUCCGGCUGUCCUUGGAACGUUGUUCCCAUGGUGCAUCAUGUGGGUGCAAGUGCGGUCAUAGUACGGCAGAGGCCGGGAUUAUGGAGCAUUGCAUGCCAAAGGAAGUUGGCUCUAACACAUGCCUAAGGAAUUGAUGGGGACGGCUGACAAAGGAAGUGACCCUUCGUGGUGCGCGGAUGUCGUGAGAUUAGGUUCGCCAUGCAUGGUUAAGAAAUUUGAAUCGAUUUGUCUGCCUCUCACAGUUUGGGACUGCUUGAUCACUAUUCUGCACUGAGUAAAGAUGAAACAUGAUAAUGAUAUUAAACUUGAUGCUUGUUCUUUAAUUGUUUGGAAACUAUGCUUGCUCAGUGUAAGUUGCUAAUCUAGACUAGUUAAUGAACUUAGAACUUGAGCUAAAAUAUUGAAAGUAAGGACCAACUUUAGUCGUUUUUGGCAAAAACAAACCCACCGCCAAAGAGCCUUGCAUGUUUAGGAGUCGGUGGAGUAGUUACCACCUGACGGGUAAGUCUUGUUGAGUAUUAGUAUACUCAGCCUUGCUUGUGGCUUCUUUUUCAGGUGUGGUUGUUGGUGUUGUCUUGUUCGGGACUCAUCCUCGGUCGGCAAGGAUAGGGGUCAUUGAUGUCAUGAUCGGCUUCGUCAUGAUAUCAUGUAUCGACGUUUAGCUAACGCUUGUUUUACAUCUUCGUUGUUUGAAACCUUGC